Triticum dicoccoides is the source of this 4807-nucleotide long non-coding RNA. RefSeq lists it as uncharacterized. The transcript has 8 exons. Lineage: Eukaryota; Viridiplantae; Streptophyta; Magnoliopsida; Poales; Poaceae. The record is from RefSeq and is a predicted model, not a curated record.
CCCGCCUCGCCUCUCUCCCUCCCCCCGUCCAAACCCUAGACCCGCGCUCGCCGGCCACCGCCGCCGCCGCUCGCCCAGGCCAUCCUCCCGUUGUGAAGGAAGCGACCGUAGAGAGGAAGGGCGUCGCCGGGUGUGCGCGUGCCUCCACGGGUUCGCGCCGCGGUUGUCGGAGGCGUGGGCGCCAUGGGUCAACCACACCGGGGAGGAUGGGUGCACCACAAGCCUCGUCGGAGGUCGCCUCUCCAUCCGCCAUGGCUCUGGCGCUCGUCCUCCUCAUCAGCGGUUGCCUUGCCGCGCUCCUCUCUUCUCGUCUCCCUCGCACCACGCCGGCUGCAUGCCAUCUCCGACGAGCUCAUCCACGGGUCUCCGACUAUGCUGCUCCGAUCUGGAAGAGGGGGCCGGUGGAGCUGCUGCUGCUGCUGCUGCAGGUGGACGAGGUUGCCCUGAUGAGGACAAGCUGCUUCUGCAGGUGGACGGGCCCUCAUGGUUGCCGCACUCUCUCAUCGGGAGUAGUCAGGAGAAGUGUCAGCCGCCAAAGCAGACGAGCCGAGCCAUCAGUGGCUGCAUCUUUGACAUCCUUUCCUAGCGUGGUCGCCAGCAUACGCCGUCCACCGGCAGUAGCAAGGAUCUGACGAGGACAGAGGCUGCUAUGUGCUCACUUGCCAUAUGAUUCGUGUCCCAAAUCCUCUACCCGCCAUGGAGCAAGCAACAACUUGUUGUUGUUAUUUUUGGUUAAAAAAAUCCCUUUUUGUUUUACUGCCAGCUUCUGUUAAAGUUUUUCUACCUUUGUUAUGUAUUGGAUCCUCUAGCAGUUGUGUUGUAUUGUUAGCAAUUGAGCUUAGUUUACAUAUGUAGAUGCAAGCUUGAUCUUUCUUUUUGUGUAUGAGAAAGAGCACUAGCUAGAACUGACCUGUCUCUCUCAUGCAUGCACACAGAUAGAGAGGUUUAAGAUGUGCAUAUGUUAUGUCCCUUUUCGUUGUCAUGAAAUUACCUAAGAUGUUCUUCUAAUUUAUUUUGUACCAGGAAUUGAUCAGCUAAACCAUAAAAGGCAGAAAACCUUGAAGGAAAAAUUGUGCCUGCUACAACUGAAUAAGAUCUGAGAUAAGGACAUCUGUUGUAAUGACAUAUAGAUUGAUUUGGUGCUAUGAUUUCCGCUCUUGAUUACUUCGCUUUACAUGGAUAAGAGUGUAGUACUUAGAUGCAUGGACCAGACGUUUAUGUUCAUGUGUGCAAUCUGAUAGGGAGACCAAAAGCUUCUGUGCAUCUAAGAGUUGAGGUUCUUCUUUUUUGUUCAGAUGUAUCCUUCCAUAUUCCAUUAUUUUUAUGCAUCGGUGAUCCAUUGGGUACUCCAAAAUCUUUUGUUAUGCUGCUGAUAAAUAUGCUCAUGUUAAAAAAGAUACCUUGCUUUGGCAUGAUAUAGUCUCUAGAUUUAUUGAAGAUGUCCAUGAGUUGUAUUGACACAUUUGUUGACUUAUAUUCAUGUCGUCUCUUUGUUCAUAUCCAGAGCUAUUGGAGCAGGAGCUGCCUCUCUUUCUUGCUUGCCCGUGGCUACAAUUGCCUUGAUGUGCACCCUUUGGCAGAAGGUAAAAAGGAGUAGGGUAUCUGGAACUGCUGCCUAUGUCACGAGCAGCAACGGGAGAUUUGUGCAUUUGUUGCAUGGGGAAGAAGAGGGUCAACAUCGGGGAGAAUGUAGAGGGGCGGGAACUGAGGUGAAGAAGGGGUGUAGUUCCAUGGCUUCCUUGAGCUCCCUGUCAAGUUCAUGGUAGAGAUGCCUCAUUGCUGCACCAGUGCCAGGAUUGUUGCUGUCUCUGAUUCCUUGAAGUCAUGUACAUGCCUGCAUCCAGUUUGUGCUCGUCAUCGCCUUCCUACCAUAGCUACGGAUAUGCAGGCCAGCCUGCCACCUCUCUUGCUGUCAACGUCACGGCGGCGCUCACGGUUGUUGCCCAGAUCCUGGUGGGGAUCGUAGUACGAGGCCAGAGCAGGGUAUCGAUGUCGGUGACCCUGCUGUCUCCACAGCACUUGAAGCAGGCACAUGUUAGGCUGGGUUCCCCAGGCAUUAUGAAGCAUCAUGAGCAAUGAACAAUAGCAACGAUUUGUUUGAUUUUGGUUCAUAUUAUCCAUGUAAAGAUUAAGUGAUCUCUUCAGUUGUGCUUGGUCAUCGGCGAUAACCUUUGGACCAAUAGUGUUUGAUAUUUUAGGGGUCCACUCUCGCAUCGACUGAACACAUAGUUCAUUGCUGACAGUAGUGUCUUGAGCAGGAACACCGUUUGCACAACAUUCCUUCAAAGGGAUUAAUUUCACUUCCAGUGGAUAAACAAAAAUGUGAAAGGAGGGAUUCCAUGUCACAAUCAUGCCUAUAGUUGGAAGUUGAUGGACAAUUGUCAAGUCCCGAAAUGUUGGUUCACAGGUCAGGUAUGUGUAUUCUUUAUUUUGAGUGACCACUGCACACUCCUAAAUUGCCGGUUGGAGAUUGUAAAACAAAGAGAAAUAUGUGCCGCAAACUUCUUUGGUUAGAAUCAGUAGUUUCGAUGCUUUUCUAAUUUCAUUGAUUACCGCUGAUAUCAGUAGCAUGUUAGGCUGCCAGCUCUAGAAAUCAUAGAGCAAUGAUGCAUGUUAGUAAGUUUGCCGACCAACCAUGGAUAUAUUUCUACAUGCAUCGUUACUCUAUAUAGAAAUGACUGAUGGCAUGUUUUUUCCUGCAGGACAAGCUACUUCUAUUGAUAUAUUAUUACAUAGUUAACACUUAUUUUAUUAUGCUCAGCUUGCUCAUAGGAUUAACAUUUCUUCUUUGAAAUUACUCAUAACCAUGACCAUAUUGAUAUAUAGAUAAUAUUGUUCAGACAUGAGACAUUUAGCUGGAACAUUUCUACUCUGAUCCCCUUGAUUCACAAAAAAAAAACUGCACUAAGCGAGACACCAUGUACUACUGUAGUACUACAUAUGCACUCUAAUUUUUCUGGAUUUCUGUCUUAUCUCAGAUAUAGAUUACAAUGCAUUUGGUGAAAUUUACUUCUGUGUGAUGUUGCUCCAUGUUAAAGUUUGGUCACUUGUUUUUAGGUCUACCCUGCCCACCAUUUCUAUAAAAAUAUACAAAUUCUCUAUUUAUACCUGACUGCCAUUUUUCCUGUUGGUUGUGUAUAUUUCUAUACCUGAAGGUCUAUAUCUGGAGGAUUAUGCUUUCCCUGCCUUCUAAGAAAUUAUGUAAUUGACUGUUCACAUUGGUUGUAGGUCGUUGCUAGACACAGAAUUGUACUCUUUUCAGUUAUGUUUUUUGCAUAUCUAUCUGUAUUCAACUAGGAAUCUCUCCUUUUGCAACACGAACACUCGACCAGGCACACUAUACGACCCUCUCAUGUUCCUUCCAUUUUUCCUUAGUUGGGUUUAGAGAUGGUUGCAUACUAGAAAUGUUUGAUAAAAUUUUCAUUGCAGUUCUCCUAUCUUUUGAACUCAUUAGAAUUUUUUUAAAACCCAUUUGUUUGUUAUUUUUGGUGCUUUCCAGGUGAGCCGUGUCAGCUCAGAGAUGGUUUAUAUUAUUUUUUAUGAACUAGGCCGCUACCAAUAAUGGCCUCCUGUGAGCAGUAUAUUAUUUUUGCAUUUACCAGCAUAUGAGUCCUUGCACACAUGGAUUACAUGACGAGUCUCCCUAGAUUCUUUGCUCACAUGGAUUAGAUAUUCCUAUAGAGAAUAAAUUGCUUUGCCAAAAAAUGAUUGAUGAGUAUGGCUAAAACUACAGGAGGUAGUGAUUCCUUUGUAGCUCUUGAUUUUGCAACUUAUGGAAGGUUUUUUGCUUUAUCUUUUUUGUUGGGGGAAAAGGUCGUCCUUUUCACACUUGAUUCCGUCAAGGUAAACUGGGUGCACAACACAAUUAUUUAUUUUUGUGAACACCGUAAUCCCUUUUAAUAAAUUGGUAGGCCGUCUGCAAGAUUCAGAAACUAUCUAUCCAUGUAAGUUGUUUACGUUGGGCUGCAAAUUGGGCUGCAAAUUUCAAUAAUUGUGCGACACGUUUGCUCAUUUGUUGUUUUUGACUUAUUUUCACUUGAUUUCUACAGAUAGGGUUGUUUAUGGGGCCUGGGAGCAUUAUAUAUUUAUAUCAAGUUCACCAUAGUUUUGUUGUGAAACUUCUGGUUUGUUUUGAUUGAUCCUUACUUGUUCGUCUGUCUUCGGGAUUGGAUGGUGCACAUGGUUGGUUAGGAAAAGAAUUGAGAUUCUAUGACUGGUGUGCUACAGUUCUGUUAAUGAAAGUGCCCUCUGAUGGGGGGGUGUCUGAUGUUAGCUUUUUGGUAUGGGAUUAGUAUCUGAAUGUUGGCCAGGUGCUCCUGAAUGCACUUCAUGCUUGCUAUGUCCAUCUGGGCUACAUGUUUUGGUUGGCACAUUCAGAUAGGUUUGUUAUGUUAGUUCUCUGUUUUAGUGAUUAUCUGCAGUUCUCAAUUGUAGUGUGAUGUGAUUGAUGUCUGUUUUUUUAUAUGCACGGAAUAACAGGUAAAAAUAGUUUGCUUGAUGAAAUGUUCUAUUCAGUUUCACACACCACCACUCAUAUAAACCAUGUGUCUGAACUGUUUUGCUAGCUUAUUGCCAUCGUUACAGCCGAAUGGAGGAAGCCCAGGAAGCCUUUCGCCGUACUAUGUUGCAUCGAAAUUUCUCACAUUUGGGAUCCUACGUUGUUGGACCUAUACAUGUCUUACUGUUAGCCUCAUGUAUAUACUGUUAUCAUGCCAUCCUCUUUAUGUAUGCCAAAUAAAUAAAUUUCUACAUGUAUCUGAAUAUAUUUUGUGUGCACACUUUAUCAUUCUUUGAGCAGUCCUUGUUA